CCUGACGAGGAACCGGAAGUGGAGCAGUGGGGAGGGGGGAGGGAGGGGAGAGGAGAUCUGCUUUUCUCUCUGGAUCCCUCCAGGCUCCUCCCUUGAGGACUGCCCCAAGGUGAACAUUCCCUGGUUUUCAGGACAGUAACUACCUGGGCCCAGAACCCACUAACCCCACAAAGAUCUCUCCUGAUCCCACGGACUGGCUCUACUCACCUGACCUGUACACAGUCCCACUACGAGGUCUGCAAUGAACGUGUCCUCGGUUUCUCCAGAGCGAUGACUCACCAUAACCCCCCAGCCGUUCUCCUGGGCCAGCUUGCACCUAGAGCAGACACCAGCACUGACCUGCCCUGAAGCACAGCUCUUCCCUCCCAGCCCCGGGCUUGAUCUAUGUCAGGAAGCACCUGGUGGAAGGUGACUUAGGGGCGUGAGGGCGUGAAGAAUGAAGAGACUAGAAGUGAGAACAGUGUGAAGGGUAGCCAGUGUUCACCAGAGUUCCAGGGCAGAAUCCAGCUAGGGGGGGGCUCUCGAGAGGAGUCCUGAAGACACAAGGUGGGAGGAGGCCAGAAGCCACUCACGCUUGGAUGGCUUCUGUGACUGAGCCGAUCUGGUUGACCUUGAGCAGCAAACAGUUGCAGGCCUUCUCCUCCACUGCCCGCUCGAUGCGCUUGGGGUUGGUCACCGUCAGGUCAUCACCCACUAUCUGGAUGCCGACAUUGGCUGUGAACUUGGACCAAGCUGCCCAGUCAUCCUGGUCGAAUGGGUCUUCAAUGGAGACCACUGCAGAGGGUGUGGAGAGGGGGCUGGUUCUUCCCAGAGAAGCCUGCUAUGAUGGAGGCCAACUGCCUCCACGAAGCAGGAUGGAGGCCCUUUGUAGCUGUGGAGACUCUGUACCUCAGUGAUCCCCUCCCUGCCCCCGCCCCAGGCAGCCGCGCUGACUCCAUUCAGUAUCUAUCUUCAUCAAUCAAGGAUACUAAAGCCUGGCACUUUUCUGUCACCUCCACUCAUGUUCUUCCCAUCCCCGACUCCUUCCAGUGCUUUCCCUAGGACUCAAGUAGCUCUCAGAGCCCAGGGUCUGAAACAGGCGGAGGAGCCCAGUCACAGUUGCAUGCACAGUCUCAAAGGUCUGCAUUGUAAGAACCUACUGCCUCUUCUCCCUGCUUCAGGACGUCACCAGGCCCCAGACUCUGCACCCCAUAAAGUUCACCUCUGCCUAUCUCCGUUCUUUCCCUUUCCUAUCUCCCAGAAUCCCUCACUCUCACCAGGAUAGUUCCGGACAAAGUCCUGGUAGAGUGCCCCAAGCUGGUCCCCAGUGAUGCAUCGGGAAGGGUCAGCGGGAGACUUGAAAUCCAAGUCGUAUUUGCCAUCGCGGUAAAACUCAGAGGCAGCCACAUCCAUACCAAUCACCAUCUUUUCCGUGUAGCCAGCCUUGUCAAUGGCUUCCUUCACCAGCUCCAAAGCUAAAGACAGAUCCAGUGAGAUUUUAAGUAGGAGAGAUAGGUGUGAAGGAAGGCGGGUGAAAAAAGCCAGAGUGGAAGGAGGGGGACUAUUGGAGGGGGUGUGUGAAUAGGGUCUGUGGAGAGAGGCUACCUAGGGAGACAAGAGUAGAAUUCUGUUACUAGUUACUAGUUACUAGUGUUGGUCCCCCUCCCCACACCCACUCAGCCACACAGCUUCUUGGUGCUGGGGCUUGAACCUAAGGCCUCAUUCAUUUGAGGCAAGUUCUCUGCCACUGAGCCUCAUUCCUACCCCCCCCCCUUUUUUUUUCUCAUUUUGAGAAAGGGUCUAAGUUGCUCAGGUUGGCCUUGAACCCACUCUGUACCUAAAGCAUACCUUGAAUUUUCAAUUCUCUUGCCUCAGCUUCUAAAUGGUUGGGAUGCUAGACUGCACCAUCAGUCCUGGCUAGCAGAGAGAGUUUGUGUGUGUGUGAGUGUGUGUGUGUGUGUGUGUGUGUGUGUGUGUGUUCUUUCAAAAAAUUGUUAUGUGUAUCAAGUGUUUUGCCCACGUGCAUGUAUGUGUAUACUCCUCAUGCAUGUUGGUGCACCCAGAUACCAGGAGAGAGUGUUAGAGCCCCUGGAACCAUGUGGAUGCUGUGAACCAAACCUGAGUGAGUCCUCAGCAAAAGCAGAAACUGUCCUUAACCACCAGCUUUCUCUGGUAUCACCUCGUGUUAGCAUUUUACACAUAUUAUCUCAUUUAAUCCUUGAUGAUACUUCUAGAACUCAGAUCAUUCCUUCCCCACCACCGCCUUGUUUUGUUUUGACACUGGUUCUUACCAUGUGACCCCAGCUACUAUCCCUGAACUCUCUGUGUAGACCAGGCUGGCCUUGAACUCAAAGAUGUACCUGCCUCUACCUGGGAUUAAGGGUCUGCACCUCCAUGCCCUGCUCAAAUGCUUGGCUUUUAAAAAGACCACUUCUGUGUCUUUAUUAUUAUCAUUACUCCCUUUUCUCUUUAUUAUUAAUAAUUAAUAGCCCAAGCUCUAAACUCAUAGCAACCCUUCUGCUUCAGCCUCCAAGAGCUGGGGAUUCCAGAGUUCAAAUAAAUGCAAGUAAUCUGA
Molecule: long non-coding RNA, 2554 nt
Organism: Rattus norvegicus (Norway rat)
Lineage: Eukaryota; Metazoa; Chordata; Mammalia; Rodentia; Muridae
Source: RefSeq, a predicted model, not a curated record